Notolabrus celidotus (New Zealand spotty) is the source of this 2140-nucleotide long non-coding RNA. RefSeq lists it as uncharacterized. NCBI's taxonomy places the organism in Eukaryota, Metazoa, Chordata, Actinopteri, Labriformes, Labridae. The transcript has 4 exons. The record is from RefSeq and is a predicted model, not a curated record.
CAAUACUUAAACUAAACCCCCCCUUGACAUCAGAGGACAUGGUCUGCUCCAACAAGCUGGCUUCAGCAGAAGAGUCCUGUUUGGCCUUAGCCACACCUUUUGCUCAAACCAGGAAGUGCCAUCCCCCACAGUCAGAUGUGGCCAAGCAUGACUGGAGGGGAAUCUCAGAGCGGAGGAAGUGAUGCAGUCUACACAUGAGAUUCUGAAGAGGCAGAAAAAGAAUGACGAAGAGGAAGAUGCUGACUAUUUCCUGAAACGAAGCCAAUAAGACAACCCUGAGUCAUGUUCAGCCUCUCUAAGAAUGACACAGCAUCUCGAUUUUCACCAAAGUGCAUCAGGUGACCAAAAGAAACGGUACACAGCAGACUGGCACAAGAGAUGAACUCAACAAGCACUGUCUAUGAUUCAUACUAUGGGAAAAAAAUAGACCUCUGCAGCUCCCUGUGGACUUCUUUGAAAUCCACCAUAGGAUACUGUGUCGUCUCCUGGUUCUGCUUCCGGGCCUCCAGUCCUGCUUCUGGUCCAAGAGGGGCUGCACAGGAUGGAAAACCAGAUCCUGAAACAGGUGGCCAUUCGAUCCCCGAGAAGUUGACCCUCUUUUGAACAACUUACCAUUGAAGAGUGGGGCGAUGAGAAGCACAGCUAAAGCCAGCAUUUUGCAGAGCGCGUCUGUUCUCUGUGCAGAUGAUGUUGCCAUUCUGGUCCUGAGUGCGCACACGUCCGACGGGUGUGUGUGAAAAGAAGGUGGGAAAGAAAAGGGUGAAGCUGCUUGAGCCGGAGCACUUUAGGGUUUCCUCUUACCCAGAGCGGGACAGGGUGGAUAAAGCAGCACUUGUGUUCUGUCAGUUUUUAUACUGCCCCCCCCUCCCCUAUCCUCCUUCGCCUCCUCCCUUACUGAGGCCCUGCCCUACACCCCGUCUUCCACUGGUUACUUUAACCCUUCCUAUGUGCCCCCACCCUCCUAAAAGAAGCAGAUGGAGGGAAGGAGGAAAAUGGGUUCUUGUUGGGAUGUAUUUAACAAAAAAAGGCUGUUAGCAGCAUUCCUGGAAUACCUGUCAAUGUUCACAUUUACAGUAUAUACAUAUAAAUUAAACAUGCGGCCUCAUUCAUCACAUGGACUCAGCAGACGUUUUCCUCCAACAUCAGUUGAGGACUUAAAGGUCAUAUGUGGAUAAACGAAUAAAGCUGUUCCACUGUUUUCAAGAAGAGGGAGGAGGCCUGACAAAUCUCCAGACUGAUCAGGAGUAAAAAAAAACAUGGUUGUUAAAUGCUGGCUUUUGUCUUAUGAUAAAUAAUGGAAUAUUCCAUCUGUUGUAUAACAGAGGAUAUAGAUGCUGUUAUAAAACAUACAUUAGUAUUGAAGUGUUGAAGGUUUCAAAGUGUGUGGACGUCUGAAAAAUCAUCUUUCAAAGUUACAAAAAAGACAACUGGUCGUAAAAACACACAUCUAUAAUGUAAACUAACUUUAACAACUGUACCUGUUAGACUAUGGCUAACUCUAGAUGGUCACACACAAAAGCCAGCAUGUUAAAAACCCAUCAAGUCUCUCUUUAAGAAGACCAUCAAAAUCUUAGACAGGAAACCUCCAUUUCCAUUAUUGCAAGAUAGUCAGGAAGUAUAAUAUUUUAAACAUUGAAAAUGUUAAAACCUGUACUGACAUCUGUCUUGUUUUAAAGUUUUAAAUGGGCUUGCCCCUCCAUAAUUGGUUACAUUUAUCAAAAAAUACCCCACAAUAUGAUUAAUACUAGAGCACAAACCAGAGGAGACUGUGAUGUACCGAGACGUAAAACCAAAUUCAGCCUUUUAAAAAAACAGUUAAACAUUGGUUAAAAACAAACCAGUCAUGAACACAUGAAUAAUCAGUUGCCUCAUUUGAUGCCCGUUCCCGGGGCUUUGGCCUCACCUUCCAUCCUGUUUUUAUAAAGUCACAAAAGUGUAUGUUUAGUAUGUAAAAUCUGUUUGUAAGUCAGUUCCUGUAGUCACCUGUUAACUGUUUUGUGACAUCCUGUAAUUUCAAAUCUUGUUGUUAUGUAAGUACCUGCCUUUGGACUACGGGUGAAAUUUAGCUAUUGUGUUAAUUCCGGCAUAUUUACAUUGAGGCAUACUGUUAAAAUGUUGAUUAAUGUGCAUUGUCCUAAUC